This 254-nucleotide ribosomal RNA is filed under the name uncultured bacterium. Its description in RNAcentral is "partial 16S ribosomal RNA". It matches the Rfam family "Bacterial small subunit ribosomal RNA", at positions 524 to 776 of the family's 1533-position model. The record is from RNAcentral.
UACGAAGGGGGCUAGCGUUGUUCGGAAUUACUGGGCGUAAAGCGUAUGCAGGCGGAUCGUUAAGUCGGGGGUGAAAUCCCGAGGCUCAACCUCGGAACUGCCUUCGAUACUGGCGACCUUCGAGUCCGGGAGAGGUGAGUGGAACUCCGAGUGUAGAGGUGAAAUUCGUAGAUAUUCGGAAGAACACCAGUGGCGAAGGCGGGUCUCUGGACAGUUCCUGACGCUGAGGCACGAAGGUCAGGGGAGCAAACGGG